Nycticebus coucang (slow loris) is the source of this 105-nucleotide small nuclear RNA. NCBI's taxonomy places the organism in Eukaryota, Metazoa, Chordata, Mammalia, Primates, Lorisidae. The record is from RefSeq and is a predicted model, not a curated record.
GUGCUCACUUCGGCAGCACAUAAUACUAAAAUUGGAACGAUAAAGAGAUUAGCAUGGCUUCUUGCGCAACUUGACACACAAAUUCGUGAAGCGUUCCAUAUUUUU